GCACGAAAGCGUGGGGAGCAAACAGGAUUAGAUACCCUGGUAGUCCACGCGUAAACUAUGAUCACUGCUGUUGGCGAUAAAAUUGUCAGCGGCUGAGCGAAAGCAUUAAGUGAUCCACCUGGGGAGUACGAUCGCAAGGUUGAAACUCAAAGGAAUUGACGGGGGCCCGCACAAGCGGAGGAACAUGUGGUUUAAUUCGAUGAUACGCGAGGAACCUUACCUGGGCUUAAAUGUAGAGCGACAGACUGGGAAACUGGUCCUUCUUCGGACGAUCUACAAGGUGCUGCAUGGUUGUCGUCAGCUCGUGCCGUGAGGUGUCGGGUUAAGUCCCAUAACGAGCGCAACCCUUAUCGUUAGUUGCCAGCGGGUAAUGCCGGGGACUCUAACGAAACUGCCGGUGUAAACCGUGAGGAAGGUGGGGAUGACGUCAAAUCAGCACGGCCCUUAUGUCCAGGGCGACACACGUGUUACAAUGGCCGGUACAGAGGGCAGCUACCUGGUGACAGGAUGCUAAUCUCCAAAACCGGUCUCAGUUCGGAUCGAAGUCUGCAACUCGACUUCGUGAAGCUGGAUUCGCUAGUAAUCGCGCAUCAGCCAUGGCGCGGUGAAUACGUUCCCGGGCCUUGUACACACCGCCCGUCAAGCCAUGGAAGCUGGGGGUACCUGAAGUCCGUAACCGCAAGGAGCGGCCUAGGGUAAACUAAGUCGUAACAAGGUAACCGUAAAU
This 727-nucleotide ribosomal RNA is filed under the name uncultured bacterium. Its description in RNAcentral is "bacterial SSU rRNA". It matches the Rfam family "Bacterial small subunit ribosomal RNA", at positions 751 to 1507 of the family's 1533-position model. The record is from RNAcentral.